GUCCCCUUCGUCUAGAGGCCCAGGACGGCGCCCUCUCACGGCGCAAACACGGGUUCGAAUCCCGUAGGGGACGCCA
This 76-nucleotide transfer RNA is filed under the name Alphaproteobacteria bacterium. RNAcentral describes it as "tRNA-Glu". It matches the Rfam family "tRNA". From Rfam's summary of the family: Transfer RNA (tRNA) molecules are approximately 80 nucleotides in length. Their secondary structure includes four short double-helical elements and three loops (D, anti-codon, and T loops). Further hydrogen bonds mediate the characteristic L-shaped molecular structure. tRNAs have two regions of fundamental functional importance: the anti-codon, which is responsible for specific mRNA codon recognition, and the 3' end, to which the tRNAs corresponding amino acid is attached (by aminoacyl-tRNA synthetases). tRNAs cope with the degeneracy of the genetic code in two manners: having more than one tRNA (with a specific anti-codon) for a particular amino acid; and 'wobble' base-pairing, i.e. permitting non-standard base-pairing at the 3rd anti-codon position. The record is from RNAcentral. Lineage: Bacteria; Pseudomonadati; Pseudomonadota; Alphaproteobacteria. RNAcentral also lists the same sequence under 2 other names.